This is a long non-coding RNA of Loxodonta africana (African savanna elephant), 3800 nucleotides long. RefSeq lists it as uncharacterized. The record is from RefSeq and is a predicted model, not a curated record. NCBI's taxonomy places the organism in Eukaryota, Metazoa, Chordata, Mammalia, Proboscidea, Elephantidae. The transcript is spliced from 3 exons.
AUAGGGGAAUUAUCAGCCAGAAUAUAAAAGUGUUCUAACAUAUUUAAGGAAUUCAAAGAGGGGAUAAAAUAUGAAUCAAAGAAUCAGACUAUAAAAAUGACUAAGUAUAUUUGAAGAAAAACAAUAAAAUAGAAUUUCUAGAAAUGAAAAAUUGUGAGUUCAAGAGUUAGUUGGACAUAGCUGAGGAGAGAAUAACCUCAGGGAGAUUUUUGAAAAGAAAAAAAAAAAAAUCCAGAAUGCAGCACAGACAGACAAAUAGAUUAAAAAUAUGAAAGAGAGGUUAAGAGAUCUGGAAGACAGUGAAAUAAUUUAAUAUGCCAAUAUUGGUAUUCCAGAAGGAAAGAAGAGAAAGAAUGAUGCAGAAAUAAUAUUUGAACAGAUAAUGGUUGGGAAUUUUUCAGUACUGGUGAAAGACACCCAUCAGGAAGCCCAGUGAAUCUCAAGCAAGAUAAGUAAAGAGAAAUCCACACCUACACACAUCAUAAUUAAACUGCAGAACAUAAAGACAAAAGGAAGGUCUUAACAUAACCAGAGGAAAAGACAGAUUACCUUUAAAGAAUGAUAAUUAUCCUGACAACUGUCUUUUCAACAGCAACAAUAGAAACCAUUGAGAUAUCUUAAAUAUGCUGAGAGAAACUAAGUGUGAAUCUAGGAUUUUAUAUGCAGCAAAAACAUGUUUUUCAAAAGGAGGAGGAAAUAAAGACUUUUUUUUUCCAGACAAAAUCUGAGAGAAUUCAACACCAGCAGACCCCACCAAAGGAAAUUCUGUGGAAUAUAGAAUUCAGGCAGAAGGAAGGUAUGAAAUGUGAGAAGGAAUGAAGAGCAAAGAAAGCCCUAAAUACAUGGACAAAUCAAACAAACAUCUCUAUAAGACAAUAACAAUGUCUUACAAGCAUAAAAAAACAAGACAGAACUAAAAUAUAUGAUGACAAUAGCCCAAAAGUUGGGAAAGGUAGUGAUUAAAGAGUUCUAGGAAUUUGGACUUAAAACUGAAACAUUAAAGCACAUUUUUAUUUUGUAUGUUUUGGAAAAUUAAGAUACUGAUCAAUUUUGUACUUUGAUAAAUAUCCAUGUUAAGAUUUCUAUGAUAGCCACUGAAAGGAUAGAAAUAGAAUGGUUGCCAACUAUUCGCUAUACAGUCUGCUGCUCUAAUGUUAGUGAACUCCUGUGUCUCAGAUCAGUAGUGCUGGACAGCAGUGUACAUGUGGGAGAGUAGUGGGAUUGUCUGCCCAUGUGGAAAAAAAAUUUUUUUUUAUAUUAUCACUGGCAUUGUUUGGAAUUGCCAGUACAUAGGGACAACAAAAGCAUUGCCAACUUAUUUAUCAUUGUGUUUGGAGUACCUAAGAGGUGUAAAUGGUAAACGCCCUCAGCUGCUUACAGAAAGGUCGGAGGUUUGAGUCCAUUCAGAGGUGCCUUGGAAGAAAGGCCUAGCAAUCGAAAAAAAAAUCAGCCACUGAAAACCCUUGGAAUAUAAUUCUCUUAUAGUCAUGGGGUGGAGGUCGCCAUGAAUUGGAAUUGACUCAAAGCAACUGGGAUGGGGAUUAUUGUGUCUAAAUUCUCCCUUCCCCCUCUCCAUGCCACUGUUCUUAGAUACUCACUGAUGACUUUCCCCUCCCCAAGCAAUGAUUCAUUUGAAGCCUGAUUAUUCAAUUUGCAGAUGUCUGGCUAUUUGUUUUAUUCUUUGCUCAAUCUCCUUUAGGCCAUUUCCUUGAUCUGCAACAUUACCUUAGGGCAGUAGUUUUAAAAUAUGGUCCACAGACCCAUGGAAUUCCCUGAAACCCUGCCAGGGGAUCCUUGAGGUCACAAUGAUUUUCUAAGACCAUCAUUUGCCUUUUUCACUUUGUUGACAUUUGCACCAAUGGUGCAAAAGCACUGAAGAGUAAAGCUGUUGACGCCUUAGCACAGAUCAAGGCAGUGGCACUGACCUUUACCGUUCUUGUUGUUAGUUGCUGCCAAGAUGGCUCUGAUUCAUGGUGACCGCUUGUACAACAGAACAAAACUUUGCCUGGUCCAUCUUCAUGAUCAUUGAAAUGGAUGUACCAUUUUGGAUUCCCACCAGCAGCACGUAAGAGUUCCAGUCUCUCCACAGCCUUUCCAACAUUUGUUAUUAUUUUUUUUUUGAUUCAUGCCAGUAAUGCCCAGCUUGGGUGUUUGGCAGAUAUUUUCUAGAAAACAAAUGAAAUGAGCCUGUAAAGGAAAACAACUGACAGUAUUUGUUGCCAAAGAUAACAGUCAAGCUUUCAAGUGGAAAUUGGAAUAUCAGCCAACAUGAACUUCAGAGCUUCCCAGUAAUUAGAAACUUAUCUUAUGAGAGUGAGGUCCCUGGGUGGUGAAAACAUUCUGCACUUGUCUACCAACCAAAAGGUUGACCAUUUGAACCCACCCAGUGGCACCGUAGAAGCAAGUCCUGGCAAUAUGCUUCCUUAAAUGUUACAACCAAGAAAACCCUACGGAGCAGUUCUGUUGUGUAACAAGUGGGGUCACCAUGAGUUGGAAUUGACUCAAUGGCAAUGAGUAUGGUUUUGGUUUGUCUUAUGAGGUUGGUGGUCAUGUUAAUGAAUGUAAUAUUGUAUAAUGAAAUGUGACAGCGUUUGGAAGAUCUGCAUAAUUCAGUAUUUUCCAAAUGACCAAUGCGUGAUGUUACAAAAUCAUGCACAGGUAAAAAAAUCUAUUCAAAAUGCAUGAUAAAUCCAUAGAUUUUAAAAUAAACUGAGUACAAAAAAUUCAUUGGCACAGUUUCAUAUUCUAUACCCAAUUAACCUUUGAGAAACUACCACUUGCUGAGUUUCGGUGUAGUAUCAAAGAAUAAUACAAGUAUCUGAAAAGGCUAUUAAAAUGCAGACUCCUUUUUCUAACUAUGUAUCUAUGUGAGACCAGAUUUUCCUCAUACACUUCAAUCAAAACAAAAUAUUGCAAUAGAUUGAAUACAGAAGCAGGUAUGAGAAUCCAGCUGUCCUCUAUUAAGCCAGCCAUUAAAGAGAUUUGCAUAAAUGUAAAACUUUGCCACUCUUCUCAUUAAUUUUUGUUUCUUUGUUUUGGAAUUUGCAGAAAAAUAUGUAACUUAUGUUAAUAUUGGGGUGCUUAGUAUUGUUAAAAACAACUUUAUUGUGGUAAAAUACAUGUAACAUAAAAAUUGCCAUUUUAACUAUACAUUUCAGUGGCACUAUUUACUUCACAGUGUUAUACAACCAUCCCCACUCUUUCCAAAUAUUUUUCAUUACUCCAAAUAGAAACACUGUACUCACUAAAAAAUACAGAAUGUUUACAAAUUUGUGUUUCAUCCUUAUUCAGGGGUGCUAAUUGUUAUGGCUUGAAUUGUGUCCCCCCAAAAGAUAUGUUGAAGUCCUCACUCCUCUAUCUGUGAACAUGACCUUGUUAGGAAAUAAGGUCUUUGGAGAUGUUGUCGGUUAAGGUAACAUGAGGCCACACUGGAGUAAGAUGAGUCCUUCCAAUCUGAGUGGUGUCCUUAUGAAAAACAAGAUGAGAAACAUACACAGGAGCAAGAAGACCGAGUGAAGUCAGAGGCAGAGAUUGGAGUGACCUACAAGCUAAAGAAUGCCAAGAACUGCCGGCUGUCACCAGAAGCUAGGAGGGAGGCAUGCAACAGAUUUCCCCUCAGAAUUCUCAGAAGGAAUCAACGUAGCUGACACCCUGAUUUCAGACUCCCAGCCUCCAGAACUGUGAGACAACAAAUUUCUGCUCUUAGAAGCUACUCAAGUUGCGGGGCUUUGUUAUGCCAGCCCUGGGAAACGAAUACACUAAUCCCUGCAUCAUUCCAUUUUUAGUAACUGUGCUGCCAA